This 462-nucleotide ribosomal RNA is filed under the name uncultured bacterium. RNAcentral describes it as "partial 16S ribosomal RNA". It matches the Rfam family "Bacterial small subunit ribosomal RNA", at positions 338 to 795 of the family's 1533-position model. The record is from RNAcentral.
CCUACGGGUGGCAGCAGUGAGGAAUAUUGGUCAAUGGCCGGAAGGCUGAACCAGCCAAGCCGCGUGAAGGACGAAGGUGCCAAGCAUUGUAAACUGCUUUUAGUUGGGAAUAAAAGGGGGCUCGUGAGCCCCGUAUUGUAUGUACCAUCAGAAAAAGGACCGGCUAAUUCCGUGCCAGCAGCCGCGGUAAUACGGAAGGUCCGGGCGUUAUCCGGAUUUAUUGGGUUUAAAGGGAGCGUAGGCCGGCUUUUAAGUCAGCUGUGAAAGUCCGCGGCUCAACCGUGGAAUUGCAGUUGAAACUGGAGGCCUUGAGUGCACACAGGGAUGCCGGAAUUCAUGGUGUAGCGGUGAAAUGCUUAGAUAUCAUGAAGAACUCCGAUCGCGAAGGCAAGUGUCCGGGGUGCAACUGACGCUGAGGCUCGAAAGUGCGGGUAUCAAACAGGAUUAGAUACCCUUGUAGUC